RNAcentral lists this long non-coding RNA (2460 nucleotides) under Helianthus annuus (common sunflower). Lineage: Eukaryota; Viridiplantae; Streptophyta; Magnoliopsida; Asterales; Asteraceae. The record is from RNAcentral.
AGCUGGAGAGCACUGAAGGCUUAGAAAAGUGGCUAUAAAAGUUACCUAAAUAAAAAGAAGAAUUAUUUUCAAUGGUAUCCCUAGCCCGGCUAGAGAUGAGAAAUCUAGCCUGAAAAAUUGGAAGGACAACUUCUUCUGGCUGGACGAUCUUUGUCUUCCGGCCGACAUGGAUUUGAUUGAUAACUGGUCUCCUAUCUGUCCCCUUCCUGAGCAUUUGUUAUUGUUAGGAUGGGUUUACCAUGUUUGGGGCCAAGGGGAUAGGGAAUGGCCGGUGAUCCAUAAGAGCGGUGAAAGUGCUGAGCUUUUCCACCUUGGAUUUUGACUACGACAAACUUGCUGUAGGAUCGUGCGAUUGACCCGAAUGAGUCGUUCAGAGGAGUUUUACUUUAUUUCAGCGAUUACAGUUAAACCUCACACCGGCAGCACUUCGAUAUGGAAAACAAGGACUCAGUUCCUGAUUUCGCUCAUAGUGACCUAUUUAUAGGGGCCUGAUUCCGCUCGUAAUGACACAGAAGCAGUUGGAGCGGAAUCAAGGUCUUGUGAUUCCGCUCGAAACCGUCCACAUGACAUUUGGAGCGGAAUUAGUUGUAGGAGCGAAAUCAGUCUCUUAAACACCCUAAACAUGCUACUUUCUCGUACAACGUGCCCUGAUCUAUACAAGCUAGUCUAAGACUCGAUACAAGACGAAGUCGACAGAUGCAUGCACUAACACUUGCUGCGGAUGAAGAGCCAUUUUUGAAAUAGAUAUCUUCGGCUACCCAUGAGAUUUGGCCUCUGGUUGAUCCAAAGACUUCCGCGGCUGUUACUGCUGGCCCGAAGUCUGCAAAGGAAGCGGCUGGUUCAUUCGGAGUUCAAGUCAGGGCAGAGCCUUUGGCGGUGGAAGAAGAAAGUGAUCCGGAGGUUCGGGAGUUGGAUCAGGCGUUGUUGUAUCCUUCUUCUGCGGUGGCUACUAAAGGCAAAGGAGUCUCAUCUGAGUCUGCACCAAAAGGAUUGAUCCAUAAAAGGAAGGCUGAAAAUCUUCAACUAAGGUCUGCAGGCUCCCUCCCACUUCCUAAGUUGGUUAAGAAGGCAAAGAAAACAACUUCGUCCUCAACCUAUAAUGUUUUAACUGAUCUUACCGAGCAUUUGUCCGGAGGUAAGUCAUCUAGGGAGGAGGUCGUGAGGGCCUGGUCUACUCCUUCGGACACUUUAUCUGGUGGCUUCUUUCCGGUGGAUGAAGCUGAGGUGAAGCCUGCGGUUACUAGUAAGGAUGGAGGAAAGGUUUUGGGAGAGGUGAAGAUGGUAACUUUUUCAGGUAUGAUCUUAGGCUCUUCUUUGGGUCCGGACUGUUUCCUGGGUGAUGAUGAGGACCAAGUUUCCUCUCUUCCUUCAUCCUGGUUUGGACCCGAAGUGAUGACCUUUUUUCGAUAUGCAAAUGUUUUUUCGGAUGAGAUGGAAGUAGUUCCGGCUAAGGCUAAGGACAAGUUUACUCCGGACUAGGUGCGGCGGUGUUAGCCAACCAAGCUCAAUCAAAUGAAUAUGUGGUUGAGCUGUAUCGAAGAUGGGUGGAAGCGGAAUCGGUUAAGGAGAACUUGGAGAAUGAGAUUAUUUCUUUGAAACGCAAAAUGCAAAAAACUCCUGACACCGAGAAAAAGCUUGCCCAGCUCGCCCAAGAUCUGGUCGCUUAGAAGCAGAAGGUGAAAUCCCUAACAACGUUGAAUCUGAAGAGAGGGGUAAGGCGGCGGCCGAGCUUGCUGACUUUGUUGCAUCCACGAAAGAAAAAGAUGAGGAACAUAAGGGUGUGUUGGCCAAGAUGGAGGAGUCUUUGACCCAAGCUCGUGUGGCUGAUGAACGGAUGCUUGCAGGUGAAGCUGACUUAAAGGCGCGAAUGGAGGAGAUGAAAGAGCAUCAUAGAGCAGAGAUUGAGGAUCUGAAGUUGGAGAGCGCGGAUUUGGGUAAGAAGAUGGAGGAGCUUCGUGCGACGAAGGUUUUGUUAUUCACCGAGGGUGCCAAGUUGUUGGCAAAGCACAUUCGCAAGGGUCCAGAGAUGACCCAGGCGGUGGCCACGACUAAUUAAUAAUGCCAUGAGUGCGAUCGGUGUUAAUACAGGAGUUCAUGGGGGUUACCUUCAUGCCUUGAAGAAAAAGACUCCAUAUGGCGAAGUCCCUCUGCUGAACCGGAAUGCCGAAGCUAAAUUAAACACCGGUAUCACCUGCUUUGAUACCCUUAGCUUUUCACUGAUAAAUGAUCUUCCAAAUCUUGUGGACGAGCCUCUUCCUCGGAUCUAGGAAGCUCUAUCUUUCAAAGAGACAUCCGCAGAUAUAGUUGGAGGUGGACAUGCCCGGCUCCUUGGGGUAUGCACCUUUGGUGUAUAGUGACGAAUGUUGUAGGUGGACAUAUCUGGCUUUUUGGGAUAUGAACCUUUUGGUUUAUAUGGUAAUGACUUUUCUUUAUUACCGAUUGUAAGUACUUGACAAUUAU